CAAUAAAAAAACCGAAUUAAAAUAUAUACAGUAAAUAAUUUAGAACAUAUAAAAGACAUUUAUGUUUGUACUAAAACUAUUUUUUAUUUAAAUAGUUUUCAAGAUUAUCUUGUUGCAGGUUGUCUAGACAACACUAUUUAUGUUAUAAAUAUGUUUGUUACAAAACCGAAGGAAAUAAAUGUUUUAUCCACAAUUAAAUAUUGCAAAUUAUUAUCAUGCGUUGACGUAUAUGGCAAUAUUUUAUCCUUAGGAGGAGGAAACGGAAAUUGGUUUAUUUGUUUACAAGAUGAGAAAACAAAUAUAAAUUCCAAAAAAAAAGAUGAAAGUUUUUUCAACUGUUAUAAGGAUACAAAAUUUUCUUACCAAAGCCAUAAUAUAUCUAGUUUAGUUAAAAAAUUUAAAUUAAAUGAAGCUUUGAUGUCAUUAAUUAAGCAAGACCCUCGCGCUACAGUUUCCUUACUAGAAUAUUACUCCAAAAAACCAUGUUAACCAAUGGAUAAACUCUACAACGAAUGAGAAGUUGUCAUAUGAAUUGUCACUGUUGCUUCGGGUAAUAAUGCAAAAGAAAGAAAGAAAAAAAAAAAAGAAAAAAAAAAAAUA
This 600-nucleotide long non-coding RNA is filed under the name Piliocolobus tephrosceles (Ugandan red Colobus). RNAcentral describes it as "lncRNA (ENSPTEG00000000033.1)". Lineage: Eukaryota; Metazoa; Chordata; Mammalia; Primates; Cercopithecidae. The record is from RNAcentral.